AGAGUUUGAUCCUGGCUUAGGAUGAACGCUAGCUACAGGCUUAACACAUGCAAGUCGAGGGGCAGCAUUGGAGUAGCAAUACUCAGAUGGCGACCGGCGCACGGGUGAGUAACACGUAUCCAACCUGCCGCUUACUCGGGGAUAGCCUUUCGAAAGAAAGAUUAAUGCCCGAUGGUAUAAAGAGUUCGCAUGUUCUCUUUAUUAAAGAAUUUCGGUAAGCGAUGGGGAUGCGUUCCAUUAGAUAGUUGGCGGGUAACGGCCCACCAAGUCUACGAUGGAUAGGGGUUCUGAGAGGAAGGUCCCCCACAUUGGAACUGAGACACGGUCCAAACUCCUACGGGAGGCAGCAGUGAGGAAUAUUGGUCAAUGGACGAGAGUCUGAACCAGCCAAAAGUAGCGUGAAGGAUGACUGCCCUAUGGGUUGUAAACUUCUUUUAUAAGGGAAUAAAGUGAGGGACGUGUCCCUUUUUGUAUGUACCUUAUGAAUAAGGAUCGGCUAACUCCGUGCCAGCCGCCGC
Molecule: ribosomal RNA, 518 nt
Filed under: uncultured bacterium
Lineage: Bacteria
Description: bacterial SSU rRNA
Rfam family: Bacterial small subunit ribosomal RNA
Source: RNAcentral